Pezoporus flaviventris is the source of this 1116-nucleotide long non-coding RNA. RefSeq lists it as uncharacterized. The transcript has 3 exons. The record is from RefSeq and is a predicted model, not a curated record. NCBI's taxonomy places the organism in Eukaryota, Metazoa, Chordata, Aves, Psittaciformes, Psittacidae.
GGACUCACAGCAUAGCCCUUUUUCUCAGCAUGCCACCGUCCGUGAUUUUAAAGGCAAUGAAUUUUAUUUUCAGAUUCUGAAAACUCCUUCUUUUGAAAUACGGAAAAUCUCUCAGUAAGAUCAACCUGGCAUAGAUACUUGCAUACCUUCAUGACCAAGCCCACCAGGCUGACAGAGAGUGCUAAGCAACCGUGCCUUCUUCAGGGAGCAGCUCCUGCGCUGCUGCCACUUGUCACCUCUCAGGACAUACACUGCUCAGGUGAAAGAAGCCGUGACUGAGGACACUCCAGGAGUCUCCCCAGCAUUCAGAUACACAAUGACACACUGCAUCUGCCCACAGUUCUCUCUCCACUCCCCAUAAAGCCAACACCAUCAAGGGUAGGAUGUUCCCCCACAUCACCUUGUUGCUUUCUGUCAACUUCCAUCAACAAAUCUCUGCCACCAUGAGUCCCCAGUGGGUUCAGUGUGAAGUGUCUCUCUCCUAGCCUUCAUAGGGGACUUGGCUGCAGGGAUGAAGCCAAACAUUCCUCAGUACCAGGAAACAUGUUAAAUAAUGCUCACUGGAAGCUCAGUUGUGUUCACAGUAUUUCCACAAAGCUUGCUCUGUGAACUGCAGAGCAGUAUGGGUCCAGAGUGCAGUGUGGCAAAGAUUAUAUUUCACCAAGAUAAGCAGAACAGAGAACUUUCCCAACAGUUACACUGUACAGUGGGGGGAAGAGGGAACCAUGGUGCAAGGAUAUAAGAGUCACUGAGGACAUGGGAUGGAGGGAAGGUUCUUCGCCAGAGCCACAUGUGAAUAUCAUCCAUGUGAAAUAACACUUGGAGAAUACCCAUCCUGCAGUCUGAUGACCUGAUCUACCAGCUCUAACAAAGUGACAGAAAGCCAUCCUUUACCUUAUGUGCUCCUGCCACCAGGCUUACAUCCCAUGUUCUUGUGCUAAUGGGUUCCUUCCCUUCCUAGGUUACAUCUGUCAUGACGUCUACUACCAUAGGACUACAGACAUCACUAGACCCUGGCUGUCAGAGCAUCAAUAUUUUGCUGUUGGAAAGAGUUCCAUCAGUAGAGCUCUCAGUUUCCAAUCAGGUUUAAUUUUGGGGAAAAAAGAAACAGAAUGG